Molecule: ribosomal RNA, 1710 nt
Filed under: seawater metagenome
Description: eukaryotic LSU rRNA
Rfam family: Eukaryotic large subunit ribosomal RNA
Source: RNAcentral
GCGAAAAGUAUUUCACUACUAGCGGAGCGCGUAUGUUAGGUCCCGAAAAAUGGCGAACUAUUUCUGCUCAGGCUGAAGUCAUUGGAAACUUUGAUGGAAGGUCUCAACGGUUUUGACGUGCAAAUCGAUCGUGUGAAGCAGGUAUAGGGGCGAAAGACCAAUCGAGCCAUUUAGUUGCUGGUUCUCUCUGAAGUUUCCCUCAGGAUAGCGGUCCCUACAGAAUAAUGUGCGGUAAAGAGAAUGAUUAGAGGUAUCUGGGAAAGCUUUUCCUAGGCCGAUUUUCAAACUCAGAAUGCGCAUCAAUGAUUUCUUCUUGAAUUGUUGAAUUAUCUUAGGGAUCAGUGGGCCUUUUUUGGUAAGCAGAUCGGGCGAUGAGGGUUCCUCCUAGAGUCGAGAUAACGUGCUCAAAGCUACAUCAAUUAAAUGAUGUCAGUGCAUACUGACAGCAGGAGGGUGGCCAUGGAAGUUGGAAUCCACUAAGGAGUGUGUUACAACUCACCUGCCGAAUGUACUGGCUCAGAAAAUUGAUAGCUAACCAGUAGCAACUAAUUCUCGACGCUAAGUAAGAGAGCGUAGUGGUCGGACAGAACCCAGAGCGUGAGCCCUGGCCGACCGGCCACCAUUGCAGAUCUCGGUGGUAGUAGCACUUGCUAAAAUGGAACCUUUUAGGACCACUUGGACGAAGGUUCCACGACAACAGCCAAUGUUCGUGGGUAAGUCGGCCUUAAUCGCGUAGUCGAGAAAAGCAACCAGGUUAAUAUUCCUGGACAACACAGGAAAACGGUAACGUUUGCGCGGGUAUUUGUUAGGUGUUGGAAGGAGGGGGACUUUCGUCCCUCUUAACAGCUGUACGCCUCUGGAACUGUGUGAAACAGAGAUAGAGGCAGACACUGGAAUAAGUACCUCUUGCGGGUACUCCUGAGCCAGCACUUGACCUCUGAAAAAUACCCGCGUUCUGUGGUGUAGCCGUACCAAUAGCCGCAUCAGGUCUCCGAGACGCAAAGUCUUCGGUUCAAUGGAUGAAUGUAAGCAAGGGAAGUCGACAAGUUCGAUCCGUAACUUCGGGAAAAGGAUUGGCUUCGUGGACUUAGUGAGGAAUGUCUGUCCUAGCGAGGAAUGUGACUCUACCGAGUUGCUCCUACGCUGGGCACAGCAACCUCACUAGCAAUACAUGAAACUGACGCGCAAACGAGGAAUCUGACUGUUUAAUCGAAACGUAGCAUCAUGCAGCGUGGUGUGGACAUGAUGUGAUUUCUGCUCAGUGCUUUGAAAGUUAAAGUUGAGCAACCGACAGAAGCGCAGGUCAACAGCGGGAGUAACUAUGACUCUCUUAAGGUAGCCAAAUGCCUCGUCAUCUAAUUAGUGACGUGCAUGAAUGGAGCAACGAGAUUCCUACUGUCCCUGUUUACUAUUCAGCGAAACCACAGCCAAGGGAACGGGCUUGGUACACACAGCGGGGAAAGAAGACCCUGUUGAGCUUGACUCUAGUCUGGAUCGGUUUGGCGACUUGUCAGGUGUAGCAUAGGUGGGAGAAUUUCGCCAAUGAAAUACCACUACUGACAUAGUUUCUGAACCCACGAUGUUCGUGCAGCAUCAGGAUGCAUUUUCAUCGGCAAAUCCAGAUCGGGAGUUUGGCUGGGGCGGCACAUCUGUUAAAAGAUAACGCAGGUGUCCUAAGACGAGCUCAGACAGAUCAGAAAUCUGUCGUAG